RNAcentral lists this ribosomal RNA (316 nucleotides) under uncultured eukaryote. RNAcentral describes it as "partial 18S ribosomal RNA". It matches the Rfam family "Eukaryotic small subunit ribosomal RNA", at positions 1470 to 1796 of the family's 1831-position model. The record is from RNAcentral.
CCCUUAGAUGUUCUGGGCCGCACGCGUGCUACACUGACCGGCGCAACAAGCUUUUUUCCUUGGCUCGACAGGCCUGGGUAAUCUUCGAACGCCGGUCGUGAUGGGGAUAGAUCCUUGCAAUUUUUGAUCUUCAACGAGGAAUUCCUAGUAAACGCAAGUCAUCAACUUGCAUUGAUUACGUCCCUGCCCUUUGUACACACCGCCCGUCGCACCUACCGAUUGAAUGGUCCGGUGAAGCCUCCGGAUUGGCGCGCACCUCGGUGCCGCCGAGAAGUUGGCUAAACCUUACCAUUUAGAGGAAGGUGAAGUCGUAACA